Olea europaea var. sylvestris is the source of this 927-nucleotide long non-coding RNA. RefSeq lists it as uncharacterized. The record is from RefSeq and is a predicted model, not a curated record. NCBI's taxonomy places the organism in Eukaryota, Viridiplantae, Streptophyta, Magnoliopsida, Lamiales, Oleaceae. The transcript has 4 exons.
CUUAUUUCUUCUACUUCUAUAUUUUCUUCUUUUUCCUCUAACUCUAUCUUCACCCAUUCUCAAUUUUUGUGAUUAAUUCAGCAAUUGGGCUAAGAACUUAGUUCCUUGAGCUGUGAUUUUGAGUGAGUUCAUUCCCAGGUUGAACUUCACUCAUUACAGAGUGGUGAGAGGUACAGGGUGAUGGAAGAGGCCGUGUCUGAGGUUGAGGUGGCUGUUGCGACGAGGCAUCUCCACGUGCAGUCAGUGAUUGGGUCUUGGUAUAACAUGGGAUUGACCAGGGAUUUGAGCCAAGCCAAUUUGUUCUUCUCUCACUCUUUUUGCAGCUGAGGAUGGGAAUUUGCAGUCCAAGAUGGCAUUGGCUUAUGCUUAUUACCGUCAAGAGGAAUCACAUGGUCUGCCUCUUGGCCCUGUCUUAUGCAGCUAAAGUCAAAGAAGCACUUGAUCCUUUUCUUUUGAAGUGUUUUGAACUACUGGUUUUUAUAUAGAAUCGAAUAGUAAUUAUUUUCUUUCUUUGGGAACAAUUUUAUUCCCUAUCCUUGCUUUAAGAGCCUUUCUUUUUACUAUAUCUUCAUUUAGGAGAGUCUUUAGAAGAUAACUACUGCUGCUCAAAUAUGUCAUAGAGUCGCUUUUACUUCUUUGUGGACAAAACAAGAGAAAAGCUUCUCACAUGAAGUUAAAAGAAAGUAGCUUAUACCUUGGCCAAACCUGUUACGAGUUCUAACAUUUUGAAGAGUCAAGGUAAAAGGCAAUGGCGGAUCUAUAACAAUUGCACAGUAUUCAUAGUUGGAUGAAGGUCAAUAUCAAUGCCAGCAUCGGCAUCCACUUACCAGACAAAAUGUUCGUGGUUUUACCAAAAGAAUAGGAAUAAGCAUGUACGUAGAGAUGUUAAAAUGAGCAACUUGUUAUUUGUGUUCAUAAUUAGCUGUA